This 324-nucleotide ribosomal RNA is filed under the name uncultured bacterium. Its description in RNAcentral is "bacterial SSU rRNA". It matches the Rfam family "Bacterial small subunit ribosomal RNA", at positions 29 to 334 of the family's 1533-position model. The record is from RNAcentral.
AGCGAACGUUGGCGGCGCGCCUAACACAUGCAAGUCGAGCGAGAACGGAUCCUUCGGGUCUAAGUAAAGCGGCGAACGGGUGAGUAACACGUGGGUAACCAACCCUUUGGACGGGGGACAACCUCGGGAAACCGGGGCUAAUACCGCGUAAGACCUAUUCUUCUCCGGAAGGAAGGGUGAUAGAGGGCCUCUCCAUGGAAGCUCUCGACAAAGGACGAGCCCGCGGCCCAUCAGCUUGUUGGUGGGGUAAUAGCCCACCAAGGCUACGACGGGUAGCUGGUCUGAGAGGAUGAUCAGCCACACUGGAACUGAGACACGGUCCAG